RNAcentral lists this ribosomal RNA (40 nucleotides) under Halimeda borneensis. Its description in RNAcentral is "partial 18S ribosomal RNA". Lineage: Eukaryota; Viridiplantae; Chlorophyta; Ulvophyceae; Bryopsidales; Halimedaceae. The record is from RNAcentral.
GUUUUCGUAGGUGACCUGCGAAAGGAUCAUUACCGGCACA